UAACAAAGAAGAAGAGGGGCUGGCACA
RNAcentral lists this non-coding RNA (27 nucleotides) under Homo sapiens (human). Lineage: Eukaryota; Metazoa; Chordata; Mammalia; Primates; Hominidae. The record is from RNAcentral.